RNAcentral lists this ribosomal RNA (952 nucleotides) under uncultured cyanobacterium. RNAcentral's name for it is "bacterial SSU rRNA". It matches the Rfam family "Bacterial small subunit ribosomal RNA", at positions 411 to 1378 of the family's 1533-position model. The record is from RNAcentral. Lineage: Bacteria; Bacillati; Cyanobacteriota.
AAGGCCUCUGGGCUGUAAACCUCUUUUAUCAAGGAAGAAGAUCUGACGGUACUUGAUGAAUAAGCCACGGCUAAUUCCGUGCCAGCAGCCGCGGUAAUACGGGAGUGGCAAGCGUUAUCCGGAAUUAUUGGGCGUAAAGCGUCCGCAGGCGGCCCUUCAAGUCUGCUGUUAAAAAGUGGAGCUUAACUCCAUCAUGGCAGUGGAAACUGUUGGGCUUGAGUGUGGUAGGGGCAGAGGGAAUUCCCGGUGUAGCGGUGAAAUGCGUAGAUAUCGGGAAGAACACCAGUGGCGAAGGCGCUCUGCUGGGCCAUCACUGACGCUCAUGGACGAAAGCCAGGGGAGCGAAAGGGAUUAGAUACCCCUGUAGUCCUGGCCGUAAACGAUGAACACUAGGUGUCGGGGGAAUCGACCCCCUCGGUGUCGUAGCCAACGCGUUAAGUGUUCCGCCUGGGGAGUACGCACGCAAGUGUGAAACUCAAAGGAAUUGACGGGGGCCCGCACAAGCGGUGGAGUAUGUGGUUUAAUUCGAUGCAACGCGAAGAACCUUACCAGGGUUUGACAUCCUGCGAAUCUCUUGGAAACUAGAGAGUGCCUUCGGGAGCGCAGUGACAGGUGGUGCAUGGCUGUCGUCAGCUCGUGUCGUGAGAUGUUGGGUUAAGUCCCGCAACGAGCGCAACCCACGUCUUUAGUUGCCAGCAUUUAGUUGGGCACUCUAGAGAGACCGCCGGUGAUAAACCGGAGGAAGGUGUGGAUGACGUCAAGUCAUCAUGCCCCUUACAUCCUGGGCUACACACGUACUACAAUGCUACGGACAAAGGGCAGCAAGUUCGCGAGGACAAGCAAAUCCCAUAAACCGUGGCUCAGUUCAGAUCGUAGGCUGCACACUCGCCUACGUGAAGGAGGAAUCGCUAGUAAUCGCAGGUAAGCAUACUGCGGUGAAUACGUUCCCGGG